Molecule: ribosomal RNA, 254 nt
Filed under: uncultured bacterium
Lineage: Bacteria
Description: partial 16S ribosomal RNA
Rfam family: Bacterial small subunit ribosomal RNA
Source: RNAcentral
UACGUAGGGGGCGAGCGUUGUCCGGAUUUAUUGGGCGUAAAGAGCUCGUAGGCGGCUUGGCAAGUCGGGUGUGAAACCUCCAGGCUCAACCUGGAGACGCCACUCGAUACUGCUAUGGCUAGAGUCCGGUAGGGGACCACGGAAUUCCUGGUGUAGCGGUGAAAUGCGCAGAUAUCGGGAGGAACACCAGUGGCGAAGGCGGCUAUCUGGGUCGAUACUGACGCUGAGGUGCGAAAGCGUGGGGAGCAAACAGG